GACGAACGCUGGCGGCGUGCCUAAUACAUGCGAGUAGGACGCAGUUGCGAACGGGUGAGUAACGCGUAGGUAACUACCUAUUAGAGGGGGAUAACUAUUGGAAACGAUAGCUAAUCCCGCAUACUAGUAGAUGGACCUGCGUUGUAUUAGCUAGUAGGUCGGGUAAUGGCCUAACUAGGCAAAGUUACAUAGCCGACCGGAGAGGGUGAUCGGCCACACUUGGACUGGGACACGGGCCAGAAUCCUCCGGGAGGGAGCAGUAGGGAAACUUCGGCAAUUGGGGGAACCCUGGCCGAGCAACGCCGCGUGAGUGAAGAAGGUUUUCGGAUCGGAAAACUCUGUUGUUAAGGAAGCGGUACUUAACCAGAAAGGGACGGCUAACUACGUGCCAGCAGCCGCGGUAAUUC
RNAcentral lists this ribosomal RNA (407 nucleotides) under uncultured bacterium. RNAcentral's name for it is "partial 16S ribosomal RNA". It matches the Rfam family "Bacterial small subunit ribosomal RNA", at positions 28 to 526 of the family's 1533-position model. The record is from RNAcentral.